UGUGUGGAUCCUAAGUGUCUCCCCUUGGAAGCCGCAGUUUGGCAUGAAGCACUUAUUCCUUUGCGCAUCCAUUUUGUGACUGCUUGUAUUGAGUCGAAUCCAAUUCCUUGCCUUCUACUUCCUUCCAAUCUAGAUCACUCCUGGUUUUUCACAUUGUUUGGUUGUUGGGGGUCAUAUUGUUUGUAUACCUUUUUUCGCACGAAAUCUUCAAUUUGAAAGACGCUGUUGGAAACUCUAAUUUCGAAUUUCUGCAGCCACACCCAAUAGUUUGAGGUCUUGUCGGUAUCUUCCUUUGCGCGCCUACUUCAGUGACUGCAGAAAGUCACUGCAGUCACUACCGGGGACGAACAUACUAGCACUGUUAAUCUCACUAUACUCGUCAAUCUUCAGUUGUCCAUGCACGAUUUCUCCCUAAAAUUAUUGAGGGGAUAUCAGAGUUUCGUGCCAAGCUGUGUGCAACCAAG
Molecule: microRNA precursor, 464 nt
Filed under: Physcomitrium patens
Lineage: Eukaryota; Viridiplantae; Streptophyta; Bryopsida; Funariales; Funariaceae
Description: Physcomitrella patens miR536e stem-loop (ppt-MIR536e)
Gene: ppt-MIR536e
Source: miRBase by way of RNAcentral